GUUUGAUCCUGGCUCAGGAUGAACGCUAGCGGCAGGCCUAAUACAUGCAAGUCGAACGGUCGGUAGCAAUACCGAUAGUGGCGCACGGGUGCGUAACGCGUAACCAACCUACCCGAAUCUGGGGGAUAGCCCGCCGAAAGGCGGAUUAAUACCGCAUAAAACUGCAGGACGGCAUCGUUUAACAGUUAAAGAUUUAUUGGAUUCGGAUGGGGUUGCGUGCCAUUAGCUAGUUGGCGGGGUAACGGCCCACCAAGGCGACGAUGGCUAGGGGAGCUGAGAGGCUGGUCCCCCACACGGGCACUGAGAUACGGGCCCGACUCCUACGGGAGGCAGCAGUAGGGAAUAUUGGGCAAUGGGCGAGAGCCUGACCCAGCCAUGCCGCGUGCAGGAUGAAGGCUUUCUGAGUCGUAAACUGCUUUUGCCAGGGAAGAAAAAAGGGGAUGCGUCCUCUACUGACGGUACCUGGUGAAUAAGCACCGGCUAACUCCGUGCCAGCAGCCGCGGUAAUACG
This 511-nucleotide ribosomal RNA is filed under the name Rhodella violacea. RNAcentral describes it as "partial Bacterial small subunit ribosomal RNA". It matches the Rfam family "Bacterial small subunit ribosomal RNA", at positions 11 to 527 of the family's 1533-position model. Lineage: Eukaryota; Rhodophyta; Rhodellophyceae; Rhodellales; Rhodellaceae. The record is from RNAcentral.